This 465-nucleotide ribosomal RNA is filed under the name uncultured bacterium. RNAcentral's name for it is "partial 16S ribosomal RNA". It matches the Rfam family "Bacterial small subunit ribosomal RNA", at positions 28 to 507 of the family's 1533-position model. The record is from RNAcentral.
GACGAACGCUGGCGGCGUGCUUAACACAUGCAAGUCGAACGGAAAGGCACUGCUUGCUGGGUACUCGAGUGGCGAACGGGCGAGUAACUCGUGGGUGAUCUGCCCUGUACUUCGGGAUAAGCCUGGGAAACUGGGUACAAUACCGGAUAGGAGCCACUACCAGCGUGAUGGAUGGAAAGUUUUUUCGGUGUUGGGUGAGCUGGCGGCCUAACAGCUUGUUGGUGGGGUAAUGGGCUACCAAGGCGGCGACGGGUAGCCGGACAGAGAGGGUGGGAGGCCACAUUGAGACUUACGGACGGCACAGGCGCCGACUAGAGGAAACAGGGGGGAAUAUUGAUCAAUGGACGCAAGCCGGAUGCAGCGAGGCCGCGGGUUGGAUGACGGUCUUCGUGUUGUAGACACGUUUCGCGAUAGACGAAGCUUGUUGUGACGGUACCUAAAGAAGAAGCACCGGCUAACUACGUG